RNAcentral lists this long non-coding RNA (526 nucleotides) under Oryctolagus cuniculus (rabbit). RNAcentral's name for it is "lncRNA (ENSOCUG00000034405.1)". Lineage: Eukaryota; Metazoa; Chordata; Mammalia; Lagomorpha; Leporidae. The record is from RNAcentral.
AUGCCGUUGAAUACCGAGUUUAUAAAAAGGAUACUCAGUGUUGCUGUUUCCCUUUUCUCUUCUUGGUGUCCAGCGUCAUGGAGCUCUUCAUUGGAACAUGUGCUAAGCCCUGGCUCUAAGAACAAGGAGGUGAGCAGCCAAGAGCAAUACUUGCAGGAAGGGCCAGGCUGCCGGUGUCAGAGGAGUGGUAGUGGAUUCAACAGGACCCUCAGGUACGUGAUGGCAAAAGUUGUUGAUGAAAGAGAAAUAAGAAGGCAAUUGAAAAACUGGGAAUCCAUAAAGGAAAUGGAAUAAAGCUGAAAGGAUAAGGAGCCAGCACAAAGCCAAAACCAUAGGUAAAAUGAGGACUCUCAAUGGUGAGUUGAAGCAGUGAAGAAUUUUUUUUAAAAAGAAACCUGAUAUCUGAUAACAUUAUACAUAAAUAACCAUAUAACAAAGAUUGUCACUUGGAAAAUUUAUACAUACAUCCAAAGCAAAAUGUAACACACAAAAUAAAAAACACAACUAAAAUAGUGGACUAGUAUGG